GGCGGCCGUUACUAGUGGAUCCGAGCUCGGUACCGUACUUGGCGUAAUCCUGGUCAUAGCUGUUUCCUGACCUGGGGAAACCCAGGCUAAUCCGCCAUGUGGUCCUGUCCUGUGGGGUAGGACUAAAGGGUGGAUAGCCCGCUUCCGGAUGGGCCCGCGUCCCAUCAGCUAGUUGGUGGGGUAAAGGCCCACCAAGGCGACGACGGGUAGCCGGUCUGAGAGGAUGGCCGGCCACAGGGGCACUGAGACACGGGCCUCACUCCUACGGGAGGCAGCAGUUAGGAAUCUUCCGCAAUGGACGGAAGUCUGACGGAGCGACGCCGCUUGGAGGAGGAAGCCCUUCGGGGUGUAAACUCCUGAACUGGGGACGAAAGCCCCGUGUAGGGGGAUGACGGUACCCAGGUAAUAGCGCCGGCCAACUCCGUGCCAGCAGCCGCGGUAAUACGGAGGGCGCGAGCGUUACCCGGAUUUACUGGGCGUAAAGGGCGUGUAGGCGGCUUGGGGCGUCCCAUGUGAAAGGCCACGGCUCAACCGUGGAGGAGCGUGGGAUACGCUCAGGCUAGAGGGUGGGAGAGGGUGGUGGAAUUCCCGGAGUAGCGGUGAAAUGCGCAGAUACCGGGAGGAACGCCGAUGGCGAAGGCAGCCACCUGGUCCACUUCUGACGC
This 665-nucleotide ribosomal RNA is filed under the name uncultured bacterium. RNAcentral's name for it is "bacterial SSU rRNA". It matches the Rfam family "Bacterial small subunit ribosomal RNA", at positions 78 to 746 of the family's 1533-position model. The record is from RNAcentral.